Molecule: ribosomal RNA, 426 nt
Filed under: uncultured Pseudomonas sp.
Lineage: Bacteria; Pseudomonadati; Pseudomonadota; Gammaproteobacteria; Pseudomonadales; Pseudomonadaceae
Description: bacterial SSU rRNA
Rfam family: Bacterial small subunit ribosomal RNA
Source: RNAcentral
GGGGAAUAUUGGACAAUGGGCGAAAGCCUGAUCCAGCCAUGCCGCGUGUGUGAAGAAGGUCUUCGGAUUGUAAAGCACUUUAAGUUGGGAGGAAGGGUAGUAACCUAAUACGUUGCUACUUUGACGUUACCGACAGAAUAAGCACCGGCUAACUUCGUGCCAGCAGCCGCGGUAAUACGAAGGGUGCAAGCGUUAAUCGGAAUUACUGGGCGUAAAGCGCGCGUAGGUGGUUCAGUAAGUUGGAAGUGAAAUCCCCGGGCUCAACCUGGGAACUGCUUUCAAAACUGCUGAGCUAGAGUACGGUAGAGGGUGGUGGAAUUUCCUGUGUAGCGGUGAAAUGCGUAGAUAUAGGAAGGAACACCAGUGGCGAAGGCGACCACCUGGACUGAUACUGACACUGAGGUGCGAAAGCGUGGGGAGCAAACA